This 207-nucleotide ribosomal RNA is filed under the name uncultured Bacillota bacterium. RNAcentral's name for it is "uncultured Firmicutes bacterium partial 16S ribosomal RNA". It matches the Rfam family "Bacterial small subunit ribosomal RNA", at positions 568 to 774 of the family's 1533-position model. Lineage: Bacteria; Bacillati; Bacillota. The record is from RNAcentral.
CGUGUAGGCGGGUUUAUAAGUUGGAUGUGAAAUGCUAUGGCCUAACCAUGGAACUGCAUUCAAAACUAUAAAUCUUGAGUGCCGGAGAGGAAAGCGGAAUUCCUAGUGUAGCGGUGAAAUGCGUAGAUAUUAGGAGGAACACCAGUGGCGAAGGCGGCUUUCUGGACGGUAACUGACGCUGAGGCGCGAAAGCGUGGGGAGCAAACA